Long non-coding RNA from Scatophagus argus, 667 nucleotides. RefSeq lists it as uncharacterized. The record is from RefSeq and is a predicted model, not a curated record. The transcript has 4 exons. NCBI's taxonomy places the organism in Eukaryota, Metazoa, Chordata, Actinopteri, Scatophagidae.
ACACCUGCCCCAACAACAACAGCUGCAGUAACAACAACAGCUGCUCCAACAACAAAUGCAGAGACAUCAACACCUUCUGUAACAACACUGGCAGCAACAACAACACCUGCUGUGACCACACCUACCAAUCUUGCAACUGCUGCACCAACAGCUGUGGCACUAACAACAUUAAGGGUGACUUUCAGAUCUCUUCGAAACACAUUUACAAAUGACUUGAGGGAUUCAUCAUCGGCAGCUUUUAGAAAUCUAGCUUCAGUGAUAAAGACACAGCUUGAACCUCAGUUUCAAAUGACAUUCCCUUCCUUGUUCAAGUCAUUGGAAAUUGUAUCAUUCAGAAACGGAUCAGUCAUCACUGAAAUGAAUGUCACCUUUGAAAGUGCAUCUGUGCCAAACGACACACAAAUUACAAGUGCGUUGAUCAGUGCAGCUUCAAACGUCACCGACUUUGACAUUGAAGGAAACUCCAUUACUGUGAAUGUCAUAGCAGCAACAACAACACCUUCUGUAACAAUAACAGCAGCAACAACAACACCUGCUCCAACAACAAUGGCAGAGACACCAACGUCUUCUGUAACGACAACAGCUGCAGAAACAACAACAUCUGUUCCAAUAACAACAGCUGCAGAAACAACAUCUAUUCCAACAACCACAGCUGCAGGAACAACAA